Molecule: ribosomal RNA, 440 nt
Filed under: uncultured bacterium
Lineage: Bacteria
Description: partial 16S ribosomal RNA
Rfam family: Bacterial small subunit ribosomal RNA
Source: RNAcentral
CCUACGGGCGGCAGCAGUGGGGGAUAUUGCACAAUGGGGGGAACCCUGAUGCAGCGACGCCGCGUGGGUGAAGGAGCGUUUCGGCGCGUAAAGCCCUAUCGGCAGGGAAGCAGAUGACGGUACCUGGCCAAGAAGCCCCGGCUAACUACGGGCCAGCAGCCGCGGUAAUACGUAGUGGGCAAGCGUUAUCCGGAUUUACUGGGGGUAAAGGGGGCGGAGACGGCAAUGCAAGCCAGGAGUGAAAGCCCGGGGCCCAACCCCGGGACUGCUCUUGGAACUGCAUGGCUGGAGUACAGGAGGGGCAGGCGGAAUGCCUAGUGUAGCGGUGAAAUGCGUAGAUAUUAGGAGGAACACCGGUGGCGAAGGCGGCCUGCUGGACUGUGACUGACGUUGAGGCCCGAAGGCGUGGGGAGCAAACAGGAUUAGAUACCCCUGUAGUC